AGUUGUUGCAGUUAAAAAGCUCGUAGUUGAAUUUCGGGGUUAGUAGGUUGGUCAUGCCUCUGGUAUGUACUGGUCUCACUGAUUCCUCCUUCCUGAUGAACCGUAAUGCCAUUAAUUUGGUGUUGCGGGGAAUUUGGACUGUUACUUUGAAAAAAUUAGAGUGUUUAAAGCAAGCUAACGCUUGAAUACAUUAGCAUGGAAUAAUGAAAUAGGACGUUCGAUCCUAUUUUGUUGGUUUCUAGGAUUGACGUAAUGAUUAAUAGGGAUAGUUGGGGGCAUUAGUAUUCAAUUGUCAGAGGUGAAAUUCUUGGAUUUAUUGAAGACUAACUACUGCGAAAGCAUUUGCCAAGGAUGUUUUCAUUAAUCAAGAACGAAAGUUAGGGGAUCGAAGACGAUCAGAUACCGUCGUAGUCUUAACCAUAAACUAUGCCGACUAGGGAUCGGAUGAAGUUAAAUUUUUAAUCGACUCAUUCGGCGCCUACCCGGGGAAACA
This 493-nucleotide ribosomal RNA is filed under the name Rhizophagus intraradices. RNAcentral describes it as "SSU rRNA". It matches the Rfam family "Eukaryotic small subunit ribosomal RNA", at positions 608 to 1099 of the family's 1831-position model. The record is from RNAcentral. Lineage: Eukaryota; Fungi; Glomeromycota; Glomeromycetes; Glomerales; Glomeraceae.